CUGGGGGUGGAUUUCAAGACUCACUAUCCUAUUUGUUAGAAUAUUUGAUUAGCAAUAAAGGGUUUCUUUCCCUCCUCCAGUUUUUCUGCGCGAAUUUUCUUAGAGGCUGUAUAGUGUGUGUGUGUGUGUGUGUAUGCAUGUGUGUGUGUAGAUUUGGAUUAGGGUCCAGAUACUAUCACUUACUGGCUACGAUGACCUCAAGGAACCAAUACACAGUAUUGAUUCCAAGAUGGAAGUGAGACUUUUGUUCCAAUGUCAUAACCCUUCAGGAAUGCAAGAUUAUCUCCAUGGGUCACCUUUGCAACUUUGCCCAGUGCUAUCUUGUCUGAAGAAUCAUGGGAAUAUGCUGGCCAUGUCUUUCCUCCUAAGAAGCCUCUGGGAGAGGGGCCAGAUAGAAUUGAUUUUAAAAAGGGAAAUGUUUGAACACUAAGCAUCACCUUCUGAGGCCAGACAGCCUGCACAUCAGUGACUAAAGUCUUACUUCAUGGAUAACCUAGAAAAGAUGUGACUCUUUGGUAUGAAGACUUAUGGAGCUGAGAAAGAGAAAAGGCUUUCACAUUGGGGUCCUGAUUUCAAAUCACAUAUUGUCUACCACUCUGCUAUUCAUCACUUCUUGCCCCCUUACACACAUAGAAGGACAAAAUCAUCAUUAUUGCUUUAGUCCAUCCAUUUCAUCACAAAUUUGAUCCUGAAAUUAAAAAUAAACUUUAAAAAAUCCAUCA
RNAcentral lists this long non-coding RNA (722 nucleotides) under Monodelphis domestica (gray short-tailed opossum). Its description in RNAcentral is "lncRNA (ENSMODG00000043077.1)". Lineage: Eukaryota; Metazoa; Chordata; Mammalia; Didelphimorphia; Didelphidae. The record is from RNAcentral.